RNAcentral lists this long non-coding RNA (2191 nucleotides) under Lathyrus oleraceus (garden pea). RNAcentral's name for it is "Pisum sativum (pea) long non-coding RNA (PSAT_LNC012545)". The record is from RNAcentral. Lineage: Eukaryota; Viridiplantae; Streptophyta; Magnoliopsida; Fabales; Fabaceae.
GGUCACAGGUCGCGAGGAUAUAGAAAUAAAUGUGAUGACUACCUCCUCAAAACAAGACUUGGCGCGGUUACGGUAGCGGUGCGACGAACCGGUGUGCCCUUUUCAGGUAGCUUACUUUGCCCUGCUUCUCCCUUUUCUUUUUAUCACCUGUAACUAAAGCAAGCUUCUCCUUCUUUUUGCUCGAUCCGCGUCUAGUAGGGUUGAGGGUUCUCCUCUCUUUUUUUUGUGUCCUCCGCCGCAAUGAAUAGUAACUCUAUAUAUCCUUCAAAUUAGGGUGUGUCUUCUUUUUCAUACGUGUGAGAGAUGAGGACAAAAGCGUGUGAACCCAAGGCAACACAAAAGCUGGGUUCUGAAUCAAACCCCCCGACAGUGGCUUGUCCUCUGGCCCUGAUUUCAUGGUCUUGGUGGGGUAAACAUGUACUGGAGUGGGUAGGGAUUUUUUCAGGUAGUGAAAGUUUGCCUUCUCACUCUUAAGUGGUCCCUCUUUCUCGACCCUACACUGAUCACAACAUACAACUUCACUGUUACGUGAAUUUACUCCUUAGCACUUUUAUUAUAUUUCAGGACUUUGUCGUGUUUGGUGGUUCGUCUUGUCACAAUCUUGGCAUUAACAUAAUGUUCUCUUUUGCUUCUAGGUUCAAAAAGGGCGGUCGGACGGACUUGAAGGCAAAGUAACACAAAAAUCAUGGAGCAAACGAAACAUCAAUCGUCGCAGCGGGAGCUUGAUCGGGGAAUUCAACUCAAUGGAAAUAGGAUAACAUAAGGGUCUAGGAAACAAGUCCUGGAUUUCACGCCUCUUCUCUUCUCUCCUCUUGUUGAUUUUGAGAAUACUAAAACUGAUUCUUGUAGCUCACACCAUGCCGACAUUCACUUACGGUAAGCUUUUUCUUCUUUGUUCAUGCCAUCUUAUGUGUGUCGUAGGCUUGGCGAAUUUAUGCUGAAAUUGUUGUGUUUGAUACCGUGCAGGAUCAUCUUUGACAUACACUCUUUGUACCUCUUUGGUUCCUGAAACUUGUUCAUCGCCCGGGGACUUUGAAGCUGCAGCAGCACGUGUGGCCUCCUUAACAGGCAUUGCCGACAUUGCCAUGACAUCAGGCGUAGCACCAGUAUAAACAUUUGACAACUGACCAAACCAUUUAAGAGACGAAUCAACGUUACAAACAUUGAGAUAAAGGUUGUCAUUUAAACACAAGGCUCCUUCCAAUUCCAUUGAUAGUCUUUGUAGAAAUAACAUUCUCAGGAUAACUCGCCAGGUAAAUUUAGCAUAAACAUCUUGCUUAUGGUAUAUGCAGAUGUUCUGAAUACCCCUAGGUUGACGUAUGUAAAAAUCAAGCAUUCUCACACAUUCAUCAACAUUAACAUAAUAGUUAUUUUUGAAUUACUGUAAUCCUUGUUUGGGACUGCUAUGAAUUUCCUGCUACAACUUGUUGUUGGUGCAAUGUUCGACUGACAUUAUUACAUUGUGAAUUGGUAGGUUUGUCAAUAGAAAGCCGCAGGCUUGGUUUCUUGGUGCGCCGCUAAUGAAUAGACUUGGAGGUGUAUCACGGCAUGGUGGUAUGGACUAAUUUACCACAGCAGGAACACUGUAACAUUUUUUCCUUUCCUCCUCAGUGGUGCAAAUUUCACAUAUCUGAAAAUCCUCAUCAGAGUCAAUAGAUUCGCUGUCAGAAUCACUUUCAGGUUCUUCCUCACUUUUUGCAUCACUAGGAGGUUCCCACUUGGCGACUUUUAUGACCCUUCCUUUUAAUGAAACACCAGGGGUUGCAGAGUUCCUUGUGUCUUCGAAUAGUAUAAUAUCUGCCGAGUUCAACACUCGAAGAGCCCUGAAUGUGAUGUCUUCAAGAUUUCCAAUCGGUGUUCCGACGAGAUAAAGACCGGGUUUCAGAUGCUACGGGCGACGAUUAUCUGGUUCGUGUUCCUCCAAGAAGAAUCUGCUGCUAACUAGAAUCAUCUUCCACUUCAAGUUGCUUGCCAAAUUUUCUUAAAGCAAGUGAAUAUAUAGUUUUUCUACUAGCUGAUGUUCUUCCAGUAACCAGUUUAACAGCCGUGGAAAGACUCACGCCAUUUUCAAUUAAUCCUCUUAGAUCAUUCUCAAGUUCGGUGUCAGACGGAGGUUCAGCUUUAGAAUUUGCUUGCCCUUUAAUCAAUAUGGUAAGUUCUCCUUUUGGCAGACGAGUAGAAAAUACAUGGU